Molecule: ribosomal RNA, 918 nt
Filed under: human gut metagenome
Description: bacterial SSU rRNA
Rfam family: Bacterial small subunit ribosomal RNA
Source: RNAcentral
AGAGUUUGAUCCUGGCUCAGGACGAACGCUGGCGGCGUGCCUAAUACAUGCAAGUAGAACGCUGAAGAGAGGAGCUUGCUCUUCUUGGAAGAGUUGCGAACGGGUGAGUAACGCGUAGGUAACCUGCCUUGUAGCGGGGGAUAACUAUUGGAAACGAUAGCUAAUACCGCAUAACAAUGGAUGACACAUGUCAUUUAUUUGAAAGGGGCAAUUGCUCCACUACAAGAUGGACCUGCGUUGUAUUAGCUAGUAGGUGAGGUAACGGCUCACCUAGGCGACGAUACAUAGCCGACCUGAGAGGGUGAUCGGCCACACUGGGACUGAGACACGGCCCAGACUCCUACGGGAGGCAGCAGUAGGGAAUCUUCGGCAAUGGGGGCAACCCUGACCGAGCAACGCCGCGUGAGUGAAGAAGGUUUUCGGAUCGUAAAGCUCUGUUGUAAGUCAAGAACGAGUGUGAGAGUGGAAAGUUCACACUGUGACGGUAGCUUACCAGAAAGGGACGGCUAACUACGUGCCAGCAGCCGCGGUAAUACGUAGGUCCCGAGCGUUGUCCGGAUUUAUUGGGCGUAAAGCGAGCGCAGGCGGUUUGAUAAGUCUGAAGUUAAAGGCUGUGGCUCAACCAUAGUUCGCUUUGGAAACUGUCAAACUUGAGUGCAGAAGGGGAGAGUGGAAUUCCAUGUGUAGCGGUGAAAUGCGUAGAUAUAUGGAGGAACACCGGUGGCGAAAGCGGCUCUCUGGUCUGUAACUGACGCUGAGGCUCGAAAGCGUGGGGAGCGAACAGGAUUAGAUACCCUGGUAGUCCACGCCGUAAACGAUGAGUGCUAGGUGUUGGAUCCUUUCCGGGAUUCAGUGCCGCAGCUAACGCAUUAAGCACUCCGCCUGGGGAGUACGACCGCAAGGUUGAAACUCAAAGGA